GCUCCUAAACCUACUGUGAAGAUCAACUGCACAUUUGGGAACGCUACACUCACCUGUGACAUUAGACACCGUACAGAUCUGACUGUAUCCUGGUAUAAAGAAGACAAUAUCAUCCAGAAUGAAAACAACCCAAAACUUCUCUUGACGUCUGCUCAAGUACAGGAGAAUAAACCGUACUCCUGCAGUGUGAGCAAUCCUGUCAGCAAAGAGCAAAGUGACAGCAUUACAGUAUCAUGUGUUGGCCACCUGUGCAUGUCGAAGCUGUAGCCAACUCAAAAAAAGCACAAAACGAAGAAGAGUUCAGACUGAGGAUUAAUCCAGCUCUAAUUCCCACUAGAACAGAUCCAAACACACAGAAAACAGCUCAUAGAUGACAAACUGAGUGUUCAUACUUCCCCAAACAUACAUAAAUCACCUUAAAAUAAGAAGAUGUAGACAGAGAGGAUCACGAGCAGAACUGUGUGGCUGAUGCAGCAUUUGUUAUUCACUCGCAGAUUCAGAUAAAACUGGUUAGUGUCACAAGUUCCUAUCAAUGCAUCAGAUUCUUAAGACAUUUUUGUACACAUGAAGGUGUGCUUAAUUAACUCGUAUAGGGGGUAUUUCAUAAUUUUAAAUCUGCCAUACAAAGAAUAUACCAUUAUAUACCAUUAAAGUGGUCAUGAGCUGCCUUUGUUUUAUUUUUAUUCUGUAUUGUUCUCUGAAGAUUUUGCCAUACGAAAAAAAAUCCAAAUUUUGACAUCCCCCAUUUUAAGCCUAAUUUAAUUGUAGCUACAUUGGUUUCAAUGGCACUAUGAUGUAUUUAAGUUUACAAUGCUGUGCGACGGAUUGUAGACUCGGAAGUAAACGUCCACUGCUAUGAUUGGCUUAUAGUUGUGUAUGUUUGAAAUCCUACUUUCAGAUUAAAGUUACUGUGAUUGAGGUUAAAAACCACAUAUAUAAUCAGUACAUAUUUAUAAUUAUCAAGAGAAAAGUAAAAAAAAAAAAAAUAAUAAUAAUAAAUUAUAUGCCCACACAUUAUUUGGGAGAUUUUCAAGAAAAGAAGACACUCUCUUCUGAAGGUUUGAAGAUUCAAACUCUCUUCAAACCAUACAUUCCUGUGGUGUUUUAUUUUUUUCUUUCAUUUAUUUAUAGUAAUUUAUUUGCAUCUACAUUUAACCAUAGAGUCAUGUAUAAUAAUCAUAGCCAUUUACUCAUGUAAUUGAUUCACUAAUUGAUUGGUCAUUUAUAUUACAUUAUUGUCUUUUUAUAUUAUUUUUACAUUGUUGUUUAGUCUUAUGGCUGUGUGGUCUCAAAGACUGUUUGUCUUCAUGAAUAAGAAUUAAGAGAGAAUUUUUAUGGAGAUUUAAGGUUUAUGGGAUGUUGUUGUGAAGAGAUUUGUGCAACAAAGUCUGAGCACUGAAACAUUCACUGUAAAAAUAUAUUAUGCUUUUAAUAUAAGAAACACUGUAAAAAAAUCUACAGUAAAAACCUGUUAACUGGUUAACGGUAAGUUUCCAUACUAUAUUCAGUGAAUAAAUGUGAUUAUAGUUAAUGUAAUUUUACAGUAAUAAACUUAAAAAUACAGCUUUUGUAAGUGAAAAAUAAAAUGUCAUUGUAUAAUUUACAGUGACAGACAGUAAAUCGACACGCCCAUAAUUCUCUGCCUUUUUUAUUAAAAGUGUUUUUUUUUUUGUUUUUUCCUCAGUUGUGUACAUUAAGGUUUAAUAUAUCUAAUGUUGUUAAAUGAAUUUUGAUUGCAUUAUUUCAUCUGUGUCACCAUGAUGGGGAUUAGUGUCUGCGUGAAUGACACUGUGCACCUUCUAUAUAUUAGUAUUGCCCUCCUCAGCUCGUAGAAAAGAUGUGUGUGAUGAGCUUUGGUUAAUCACUUGACCAUCACAUCACCACCAGUUUUUGAUAGUUAUCAGUGCCUUACAUUGGUUUAAAACAGAUAUUAGUACUUCAAUAUGUUGGUUUAUUAACAUCACAUAAGUUGAUGAAACAGUAUUUUAUUGUAAAUUUGAAAUUCUGUAAAAGCUAACAAGUUGUGACCUUCAUUUACAGUGAAGUUCUGGAAACCAUAGCUGCUGGUAUUUUACUGUAAAUGUCUUUUUUUUUUUUGAUGAAUAUUUCUCA
Molecule: long non-coding RNA, 2112 nt
Organism: Carassius gibelio (silver crucian carp)
Lineage: Eukaryota; Metazoa; Chordata; Actinopteri; Cypriniformes; Cyprinidae
Exons: 3
Source: RefSeq, a predicted model, not a curated record